This is a long non-coding RNA of Manihot esculenta (cassava), 1934 nucleotides long. RefSeq lists it as uncharacterized. The transcript is spliced from 3 exons. The record is from RefSeq and is a predicted model, not a curated record. Lineage: Eukaryota; Viridiplantae; Streptophyta; Magnoliopsida; Malpighiales; Euphorbiaceae.
AACCAUGGGUAAAACUUAAGACCCACCAUACCCACGGUCCGCUUCGGCCUCUGCACCAUCCUUUCCCAACGCACGUCCACCCGGCACCUGUGCUCCAUCUCGAGCUCACCAACCAGCUUCUCUCUCAACCUUUGCCUCCUUCAAUCACUAGACCCACCAAACCAACGGUUCCCCAUCAGCACGUUCUCCCAUUACUUUUCCUCCGACGCGACCAACUCCCCCUUUCAACACCUUUGCUCCCAGCACCGCUGCAGUUCCUUUCUCCUUAACCCCAACUCUUCACCUCCUCCCGCUCCUCAUCCAUUCCUCCACCACUAGAACCACCACUCUCCAUCUUUAUCGACGCCCCAAACCUAUAGUAUGUACCCUCUGUCAAUCCUCACCCAACCUGCAUGACCAGUUCACAGAAUCGAUUCCCUCUCACGGAAGAACGUAUGGGUAUUCUUUCGCCAAGAGAGACUCAAUGCUGCAAGAAAUCAGAGUACCCAUUUUCAUCCCAAGAUCAUAGAAUCACGUGCCAUCAUUGUCGAUUCCAAAUAGAAAUUCCAUUUCCAGCGCCGCUCCUCUCAUCUCCACCGCUGCCCUCAGUCGCGCCAAACCAGGGAUGAUGACUGCCCAUUUCGACGCCGGAGCUCAUCGCAGCACCUGGUGUCACUAUCGCAGAGUAUUGAGCCAAAUAGCCAUACCUACGAAGCAGUGGAGCACGAAGACAAGUGACCCCCCCCCCCCCCCCCCCCCCCGUUGUUGCAACUAAUGACAUUCAAAAAUUUGUGGGUCGGCCGCUUCCCUUCGAGUGAGUAUAGAUACGGAUGUAGGCUAUGUGGCAGACAUCAAGCGCUGAUACUCGUGAACUAAAGGAUAACGUAACGAAAUCAAAAGAUGAUAUCUGGCUGUUGCGCAGCAGCUUCGUUACGUAUGAGAAGCAAUGCAUCUGUGCUUUUUCUAUUUGAUGAUUGCAGUUAAUUUUGGUACUUUCCCUGUUUGAAUUUGAGUCAAUGAUCACGUGCGAGAAGGGCAUAUCUGCUGUUGUUUUUUUAUCAUCUUUAUGGUCGAAUUAGAGGAAGCAGCAAAUGAUGUUGAGCAAAAGUAAAGAAAAGCGCGUGAAAUCAUUUUAUUUAGUGUCUUCCCAAGUACAUGGAAUAUUACCUAGUGGUAGUGUCAUUAUCUAACCAUGCAUGCAACAUAAUAUGCUAAAUAGAUAUAGGUAACCCUACUGCACCACCUUUUCAUGGAUUCUUCUUCAGUGUAUCAAUAAACCUUCCAUCUAAUAUAUCAUUAUUUGAAAUAUAAUCAAGAAAAUCGCUGAAACUGAACUCUUUGUAGGAUGUCGGGUGUUGCUCAUCGACAAGCUCUGGUGCUGGCCCAACUUUCUUGUUUAAGGCUAGACUGUGAAGACUUGCUAUCGAAAAACGCUUCCUCUGAGGGCUAACAGUUGCUUGGUGAACAACACUCUUAUAUUGGCCGUUGCUCAUUACUUCUACCUGAUCUCCCAACUGAACCAGUAGUGCUCCUUCAGUCACUGGAACUGGGAUCCAAUUCUUAUUCUGGUCCAUGAUCUGUAGACCUGUGCAGCUCUGAAGUAAGAUCGUCAAUGACCCAUAGUCUGAGUGCGGUGGCAUGCCUAAUGUGAGCUGUGGUUCAGGACAUGCUGGAUAGCAGUUCAUGGUCAUCACUUGUGAUCCUUCUUCAAUUUCAUUUUGCCAUAGGUGAAUCCACUCUGAGAUGGGAUGAGAGUAAUGCUUGAUGAAGUCUCUCCAAAAAUGAACUUUAUCCCUCGAAUGAUUUAAACUGGUGCCAUACCUUACAGGGGCAUGGACAUUGCCUGACAUCAGAAGCAUCUUCUCUUCAAGAGGCAGGUCGAAGAAGCCCAUCACAGCAUCUAGAGCAUCUUUCAUCACAUGAAGAGGGAUUCCAUGGUUUAUCACCUGAAAACA